UACGUAGGGACCGAGCGUUGUCCGGAAUCAUUGGGCGUAAAGAGCGUGUAGGCGGCUAUUUAAGUCCUGCGUGAAAUCCUGCGGCUCAACCGCAGACGGUCGUGGGAAACUGGAUGGCUAGAGUGCGGGAGAGGAGAGUGGAAUUCCCGGUGUAGCGGUGAAAUGCGCAGAUAUCAGGAGGAAUACCGAUGGCGAAGGCAGGUCUCUGGGCUGACACUGACGCUCAUGCACGAAAGCGUGGGGAGCAAACAGG
This 253-nucleotide ribosomal RNA is filed under the name uncultured bacterium. RNAcentral's name for it is "partial 16S ribosomal RNA". It matches the Rfam family "Bacterial small subunit ribosomal RNA", at positions 524 to 776 of the family's 1533-position model. The record is from RNAcentral.